Molecule: ribosomal RNA, 498 nt
Filed under: uncultured bacterium
Lineage: Bacteria
Description: partial 16S ribosomal RNA
Rfam family: Bacterial small subunit ribosomal RNA
Source: RNAcentral
GAUGAACGCUGGCGGCGUGCCUAAUACAUGCAAGUCGAGCGAACGGACGAGAAGCUUGCUUCUCUGAUGUUAGCGGCGGACGGGUGAGUAACACGUGGAUAACCUACCUAUAAGACUGGGAUAACUUCGGGAAACCGGAGCUAAUACCGGAUGAUAUUUUGAACCGCAUGGUUCAAAAGUGAAAGACGGUCUUGCUGUCACUUAUAGAUGGAUCCGCGCUGCAUUAGCGAGUUGGUAAGGUAACGGCUUACCAAGGCAACGAUGCAUAGCCGACCUGAGAGGGGGGUGGGACAGACUGGGACUGAGACACGGCCCAGACGCCGACGGGAGGCAGCAGUAGGGAAUCUUCGGCGAUGGUGGCAACUCUGACCGAGCGACGCAGCGUGAGUGAAGAAGGUUGUAGGAUCGUAAAGCUCUGUUGUAAGUCAAGAACGGGUGUGAGAGUGGAAAGUUCACACUGUGACGGGAGCUUACCAGAAAGGGACGGCGCACUACGUG